ACCACGGCUAAAAAUAGAACAGGGGUAAAAUGUAGUUUUUUGCUUAUAACUCUGAAACCCAAAUCAUUUAGAGGAAAUCUGACAAGGAGGUUAAUUGUUAAUCAAGUCAAUAUAUAUCUGCCCUGAAAUAUUCAAAUGAAUUGGACAACCGGUUGUUGGGUUGCUGCCCUCCAAUUGGUAAUUUUUAAAGAAAUUUUGCUGUUUUUGGUUAUUAUCUUGAAUACUAUUAUAGAUAGCGAUAAACUGUAAACAGCGAUAAUGUUCAUCAAAGUAAGAUCUACAAAUAAGUCCACAUGACCUAAAUGGUCAAUUGACCCC
This 318-nucleotide long non-coding RNA is filed under the name Mytilus galloprovincialis (Mediterranean mussel). The record is from RNAcentral. Lineage: Eukaryota; Metazoa; Mollusca; Bivalvia; Mytilida; Mytilidae.